RNAcentral lists this small RNA (1128 nucleotides) under Arabidopsis thaliana (thale cress). Its description in RNAcentral is "ATSL261160". Lineage: Eukaryota; Viridiplantae; Streptophyta; Magnoliopsida; Brassicales; Brassicaceae. The record is from RNAcentral.
UUAAAUGAUAAAUAAAGUAAAUAUAUCUAUUUAAUAAUUAUUAAAACAUUAAAAAAUAUAUUUCAAAUACAACAUCAAAAAUAGAUUCAAAUCUAUUAUUUUGAUUUUUCCAUAACUUAUAAAGAAGAAGAUUUAACAACUAUUAAGAUUGGGAUAGAUUCAAAUCUAUUAUUUUGAUUUUUCCAUAACAUAUAAAGAAGAAGAUUUAACAACUAUUAAGAUUGGAAAAGUGGAAGAAGUGAAGAACUAUGGUUUCGUAGAGUUGGAGGCGGAGAGAAGUCGAGAAAGUGAAACCCAAUAUUAGGGUUAAUGAAGCAUUAAUGACAACAAUCAAGGCCUAUUAGGUUUACUAAAGGAUCUGCGCGUCUGUGAAACAGGUGGUUCAGGAUGCGGCUCGGAUCGGCUUUAAAACGCAGGAAGAAUUACGAUUUUACCCUUAAUUGUCUGUUUUUUUCUUUUUCCUGUAACGUAAAAUGAAAAAACGGCUUAUGUGGCUUGUCAUUUUGCCAUAACAUCACCAUCAACUGUAUCUAAAGCUUCCAUAUCCCUACAUUGGUUUCAGAAUUUGUGUCAAUAACCUCUGUCACUUCCAUUUCUUCUACAAAAUCAUCAUCUGAAAAAUUUGAAAUCCUUAUAAAAUUAUGUAGUCCCAUUGUAGCCAUUACAACUAUCUUCUGCACAUGAGUAUUAUAUCUAGGAAAUUCACAAAGAAUCCUAUAUUUUUUCUUCCAAACUCCAAAUGUUCUCUUAAUUAUACACUCGAAAGUUUUGUCCAUAUAGCUACAGUUUUAACGACCACAUACAUUUGUAACAACUUUUUGCUACUUAUAAAUUACAAAUUAGUAACAGAAAACGAUUUAAUAAAACAUGUAGCUAAUUUGUUACAACCCGUAGCAAUUUAGCUACAUUUUGCGAGACAGAAUUUUUUGUAACAAAUAUGUUACCAAAUGUGUUUAAAAUUUAGUUGCAAAGUUCCACAAACCAAAAUUCGUCGCCGAUUUUGUAACAACAGUUGAAUAGAAUAUCAUUUAACGUUUUACGAUUAUUAUCAACUAGAAGAUUUGUAAGUAUUAGCGACGAUUUAUGCAUUUUAUUUUAGUAACAAAGUUGAUAUGAAUUUAGUAUCAA